GAUGAACGCUGGCGGCGUGCCUAAAACAUGCAAGUCGAGCGGUAAGGCCCUUUCGGGGGUACACGAGCGGCGGACGGCUGAGUAACACGUAGGAACGUACCCCAAACUGAGGGAUAAGCACCAGAAAUGGUGUCUAAUACCGCAUGUGCUCUCUAGAGUAAAGCUACGGCGGUUUGGGAACGGCCUGCGCAUGAUUAGCUUGUUGGUGAGGUAAUGGCUCACCAAGGCGACGAUCAUUAGCUGGUCUGAGAGGAUGACCAGCCAGACUGGGACUGAG
RNAcentral lists this ribosomal RNA (277 nucleotides) under uncultured bacterium. RNAcentral's name for it is "partial 16S ribosomal RNA". It matches the Rfam family "Bacterial small subunit ribosomal RNA", at positions 28 to 323 of the family's 1533-position model. The record is from RNAcentral.